UACGGGGGGGGCAAGCGUUGUUCGGAAUUACUGGGCGUAAAGGGCUCGUAGGCGGCCAACUAAGUCAGACGUGAAAUCCCUCGGCUUAACCGGGGAACUGCGUCUGAUACUGGUUGGCUUGAAUCCGGGAGAGGGAUGCGGAAUUCCAGGUGUAGCGGUGAAAUGCGUAGAUAUCUGGAGGAACACCGGUGGCGAAGGCGGCAUCCUGGACCGGUAUUGACACUGAGGCGCGAAAGCCAGGGGAGCAAACGGG
This 253-nucleotide ribosomal RNA is filed under the name uncultured bacterium. RNAcentral describes it as "partial 16S ribosomal RNA". It matches the Rfam family "Bacterial small subunit ribosomal RNA", at positions 524 to 776 of the family's 1533-position model. The record is from RNAcentral.